AUACCGUAGGAAGACUAGUCGUUAUUCAUCUUUAAUAGGUUNAAAGGGUACCUAGCCGGUAAAUCAAGUCCGAAAAGGAUACUAGUUUGCUAGAGUUNAAUAUGAGGGGGCACUAAAGUACUGANAAGUGUAGAGAUGAAAUUUCUGUGAUACAAUAUACGGCACUGGCAAAGGCGAAAGCAUCUCAUUAUGUAAUAACUGACGUUGAGGGACGAAGGCUAGGUGUAGCAAAAAGGAUUAGAUACCCAAGUAGUCUUAGCAGAAAAUUAUGAAUGUCAUAGGAUGGAAAGAGUAAAAAACAAUUUUUUUUCKAUAAAUGAAAGUGUAAGCAUUUCACCUCGAGAGUAAUUUGGCAACAUUGGAACUGAAAUCAUUAGACCGUUUCUGAAACAAGUAGUGAAGUAUGUUGUUUAAUUUGAUGGUCCGCAAAAAACCUUACCACAAUUUGAAUAAAAAUUUUUAUUUUUUUUACAAGCGCUGCACGGUUGUYKUCAGUUAAUGUCGUGAGAUC
This 511-nucleotide ribosomal RNA is filed under the name Rinodina glauca. RNAcentral describes it as "partial small subunit ribosomal RNA". It matches the Rfam family "Bacterial small subunit ribosomal RNA", at positions 520 to 1074 of the family's 1533-position model. The record is from RNAcentral. Lineage: Eukaryota; Fungi; Ascomycota; Lecanoromycetes; Caliciales; Physciaceae.